UAUUCUCAGGGCGGGGUGGAAUUCCCCACCGGCGGUAUCCCGGUUUUCCGGGGAGCCCGCGAGCGCUCCUUUCGACGCGAAGGGAGGUCAGCAGACCUGGUGAGAGGCCAGGGCCGACGGUCACAGUCCGGAUGGGAGAGAAU
This 143-nucleotide non-coding RNA is filed under the name marine eukaryotic metagenome. RNAcentral describes it as "FMN riboswitch (RFN element)". It matches the Rfam family "FMN riboswitch aptamer (RFN element)". Rfam says of the family: The RFN element is a highly conserved domain that is found frequently in the 5'-untranslated regions of prokaryotic mRNAs that encode for flavin mononucleotide (FMN) biosynthesis and transport proteins. This element is a metabolite-dependent riboswitch that directly binds FMN in the absence of proteins. The record is from RNAcentral.